Molecule: ribosomal RNA, 688 nt
Filed under: Faecalibacterium prausnitzii
Lineage: Bacteria; Bacillati; Bacillota; Clostridia; Eubacteriales; Oscillospiraceae
Description: bacterial SSU rRNA
Rfam family: Bacterial small subunit ribosomal RNA
Source: RNAcentral
UUGAGGAAGAUAAUGACGGUACUCAACAAGGAAGUGACGGCUAACUACGUGCCAGCAGCCGCGGUAAAACGUAGGUCACAAGCGUUGUCCGGAAUUACUGGGUGUAAAGGGAGCGCAGGCGGGAAGACAAGUUGGAAGUGAAAUCCAUGGGCUCAACCCAUGAACUGCUUUCAAAACUGUUUUUCUUGAGUAGUGCAGAGGUAGGCGGAAUUCCCGGUGUAGCGGUGGAAUGCGUAGAUAUCGGGAGGAACACCAGUGGCGAAGGCGGCCUACUGGGCACCAACUGACGCUGAGGCUCGAAAGUGUGGGUAGCAAACAGGAUUAGAUACCCUGGUAGUCCACACCGUAAACGAUGAUUACUAGGUGUUGGAGGAUUGACCCCUUCAGUGCCGCAGUUAACACAAUAAGUAAUCCACCUGGGGAGUACGACCGCAAGGUUGAAACUCAAAGGAAUUGACGGGGGCCCGCACAAGCAGUGGAGUAUGUGGUUUAAUUCGACGCAACGCGAAGAACCUUACCAAGUCUUGACAUCCUGCGACGGACAUAGAAAUAUGUCUUUCCUUCGGGACGCAGAGACAGGUGGUGCAUGGUUGUCGUCAGCUCGUGUCGUGAGAUGUUGGGUUAAGUCCCGCAACGAGCGCAACCCUUAUGGUCAGUUACUACGCAAGAGGACUCUGGCCAGACUGCC